UAUUCCUUUCAAAUCAAACCCUAACUUUAAGUCUUCGUCAUUCUCUCUACUGCGCCGGCGCCACCACAACCACCACCGUCAUGGACUUCUCACCACCGCCGAUUGACGACGGUUUCUCCGCAGAGAAGCUUUUCAACCAAGGCUACUCCUACACUUACGAUGACGUUAUCUUUCUCCCUCACUACAUAGACUUCCCAACCGACGCUGUCUCCCUCUCUACGCGCCUCACUCGCAACAUCGAGCUCUCCAUUCCUUUUGUUGCCUCGCCGAUGGAUACUGUCACUGAGGACUACAUGGCCGCCGCUAUGGCUGCUCUCGGAGGCAUCGGUAUUGUUCACUCCAACUGCACGCCUUCCGACCAGGGUAGUCUCGUUGCCUCAGCCAAGUCGCGCCGCGUCCCGAUCUUUUCAUCAAAUUCGGCGAUUUUUAGGGCGCAGGACUGCUGGAUUGAUGAUGUAACGGAGUUUGGAGAGUACAAUCAUCUUUUUGUCACCGAGUCUGGUACUGCAAGAUCGAAGGUAUUGGGUUAUGUGGCAAAAUCUGAUUGGGAGAAUUUGAAUGAUAAGAAAGUAAAAAUUUUUGAUUAUAUGCGUGAUUGCAGUUCCAAGGUUUAUGUUUCCUCGGAAUAUGAUUUGGGUCAAAUUAGUGGAGUUUUGGAGAAAAAUGAGCUUGAUUUUGUUGUUUUGGAGAGUAAUGGUGAGGUGGUAGAUGUGGUUCUGAAGGAGGAUGUGGAGAGAAUAAAAGGUUAUCCAAGAUUGGGGAAGGGCUCAGUGGGACCUGAUGGAAAGUGGAUGGUGGGGGCAGCGAUUGGGACAAGGGAAUCUGAUAAGCAGAGGUUAGAGCAUUUGGUGAAGGCUGGGGUGAAUGUGAUAGUGUUGGAUAGUUCUCAAGGAAAUUCAAGUUAUCAGAUUGAGAUGAUCAAGUAUGUGAAGAAGAUGUAUCCGAAGUUGGAUUUGAUUGGUGGAAAUGUUGUGACAAUGUAUCAAGCGCAGAAUUUGAUUCAGGCUGGUGUGGAUGGGUUAAGAGUUGGGAUGGGUUCUGGGUCCAUAUGUACCACACAAGAGGUUUGUGCAGUGGGGCGAGGCCAGGCAACUGCUGUUUACAAAGUUUCAUCUAUUGCUGCACAAAAUGGUGUGCCUGUCAUCGCUGAUGGUGGCAUUUCAAACUCUGGACAUAUUGUUAAGGCUUUGACCCUGGGGGCAUCUACUGUAAUGAUGGGGAGCUUCUUAGCGGGAAGUACAGAGGCUCCUGGAACUUAUCAGUAUCAGGAGGGCUGCCGGGUAAAAAAAUAUCGGGGCAUGGGUUCCCUUGAAGCAAUGACUAAGGGGAGUGAUGCAAGAUACUUGGGUGAUACGGCUAAGCUAAAGAUUGCUCAGGGGGUUGUUGGAGCUGUUGCAGACAAAGGUUCUGUUUUGAAGUUCAUACCAUACACAAUGCAAGCAGUCAAGCAAGGGUUCCAGGAUCUUGGUGCUUCUUCUCUGCAAUCAGGUCAUGAGCUUUUAAGGUCAAGAUCACUAAGGCUGGAGGUCCGAACAGGAGCUGCACAAGUUGAAGGUGGAGUACAUGGGCUGGUUUCCUAUGAAAAGAAAUCCUUUUGAGAUUUAAACUGCUCUGCUACCCAUCAAUGCUGCUGCGAAUUUUGCUCGGUCUCUGAUUGAUGCAUUAGUAUGAACAAUAAUCAAGUAAAUUUGAUCAACAGAAAGAUUUUUGGUGCAAUUUGUUUUGAGCUCUCGUGAAGUCGCGGACGUUUUAGCCAGGGCUGUCAAGAAUCAUGCAUCCUCACGGAUCUGUGCUCAUUUGUUGUUUGGCAUGAGACAUGCGCAAAGCAAAAGAAAAGCAUGUACCUCAAAGUUAAGAUACUUCAAAGUUCAACCACUCAGCCUUCUUCAACACAGACUUUGAGUACUUCAACCACUGCCAUGUAAAAAUUUGCUAAUUUAGAUCUCUUGUUGAACAAAAUGAUGAAUAAUGAAGGUCCGAUGUGAGGUACCCUCAGGAUUUCUGAGGAAUUCCAACCCAUAAAUUUGCACGAGGCUUAGACACAUUGAAAUAAGAGUGUGAUUGUUACCAUUUGCUGACAAAAAGCCUUCUGAUAGAUCUGAGAAAGAUAACACGACAGGAGUAAAGAUUUCAUCUCACACUUUCAGCGAUGUGAGUUGUUACAUCACGUCCUUGCCAUGUAAAUGCUUUUUCUCCAAUCUCACAAAUAGAGCUGUGAAUUGCUGAAACUAUCAUCUCUAAUUGUUCAGAACAACAAUUGAUGUCUUCCUCUACAUUCCACCCGGGGUUCCAAAAAAAAAAAAAAAAAAAAAAAAAAAA
This is an RNA transcript of Pistacia vera, 2319 nucleotides long. It is a transcript of the gene named inosine-5'-monophosphate dehydrogenase 2-like, with no coding region annotated. The record is from RefSeq and is a predicted model, not a curated record. NCBI's taxonomy places the organism in Eukaryota, Viridiplantae, Streptophyta, Magnoliopsida, Sapindales, Anacardiaceae. The transcript is spliced from 6 exons.